Long non-coding RNA from Erinaceus europaeus (western European hedgehog), 1024 nucleotides. RefSeq lists it as uncharacterized. The transcript has 3 exons. The record is from RefSeq and is a predicted model, not a curated record. NCBI's taxonomy places the organism in Eukaryota, Metazoa, Chordata, Mammalia, Eulipotyphla, Erinaceidae.
CAGCAAGAAUGUUGGCCAGGCCACUGUUAAGGGUAUAACUAUCUAGACCACUGAAUGAGAAAGUCAGUUUUGUUCUUGACUGAGAAAGAGAGGCAACAUUGGAUGAUCAGUAACCCACAGAGUAGGGAGCCAGCAGGGCCAGCUAAUGACCCCCUCAGGCUGGGGGUGCCACAGAAAAAGACAAUGUGGUACAUAGUAUUCAGACCUAAAGUCCCCGACCAAAGACUUCUGAGAAGCCAGAUACUUGAGGAGCCUAGAACAUUCUCUGCAUCUAGUGCUCAAUUUAUUCAAGCCACCAGGUUCCAGAUGCUAGCUAGCAUGAUGCUGACCAGACUUUCCUGGACAGAUGACCCUACCAGUGUGUCCUAGAGCUCCGUUUCCCCAGAGCCCCAACCUACUAGGGAAAGAUAGAGGCAGACUGGGAGUAUGGAUUCCCCAUGUUCAGCGGGGAAGCAAUUACAGAAGCCAGACCUUCCACCUUCUGCAUCCCACAAUGACCUUGGGUCCAUACUCCCAGAGGGAUAGAGAAUAGGAAAGCUAUCAGGGGAGGGGAUAGGAUAUGGAGAUCUGGUUGUGGGAACUGUGUGGAGUUGUACCCCUCUUAUCCUACGGUUUUGUUAAUGUCUCCUUUUUAAAAUAAAUUAAAAAAAAGAGAAAGAACAAAUGCAGGGAUGAACAGAGUAAGAUUCAUCCUCUGCUGCAACAAAGAUGUGCUUUAUCCAAGAACAAAGCUUCUCAUUUAAAAAAAUUAUUUAUGCAGUGAAGCAGGUCUGCAGGUGUCUCUUUUUCUCUCCCCCUCUGUCUUCCUCUCCUCUCUCCAUUUCUCUCUGUCCUAUCUAACAAUGACGACAUCAAUAACAACAACAACAACUACAACAAUAAAACAAGAGCAACAAAGGGGAAUAAAUAAAUAAAUGUAAAAAAAAAAGAAGAAAAGAAAAAAUCUCCCCUUUGUAUGCCAAUGAAAUUUCAAAUCAAAAGUUGUUAAAUCAAGUCAAGGCUAUGGGGUUUUGAGUAAGCUUAU